UUCACCUCUCAUGAUUACGUAGAAUGGAAAAAGAGGUUGAUGAAAGUAACCUAUAGAAUCGAAGAGCUGGUGCUGGGAAAUUCAUUUUGGGAUAAAGUGCGUGAUGUUGUGGGUAUUCUAGAGCCCAUUUAUGUGGUGUUGAGGAUGGUGGACAAUGAGACAAAUCCGUCGAUGGGGUCGCUGUAUCCGUCUAUACAGCUGAUGAAAGAGGCCAUCAUGGUUAAAGCUUCCAAUGCAUAUAAGUGGGUGCAUGCAAUAAUAGAUGACUGUUGGGAAAGGACGCUUUCUCACCCACUACAUCAGGCUGCCAGAACCUCUUCGAAGAUAAUUCAUUAAAGAGGGCUGUGCAUGAGGUGUACGAUCACUUAUUCCCCGACUGUCCGAGGAAAGGCACAUUUGGUAGUGAGAUUGUUAAAUUCCGCGACGCAGUUGGAAUGUUUGGGUGUCACCCUACAGUGAAGUCAAGGAACGCUAUGAUGGCAUGCGAAUGGUGGUCCAUGUAUGGGACUAACUGCGAGGUUUUACAACGAUUGGUUGUCUGUGUGCUUGCACAGACAGUGUCCUCGUCACCCUGUGAAAGUAAUUGGAGUACAUUCUCCC
This is a long non-coding RNA of Magnolia sinica, 600 nucleotides long. RefSeq lists it as uncharacterized. The transcript has 4 exons. Lineage: Eukaryota; Viridiplantae; Streptophyta; Magnoliopsida; Magnoliales; Magnoliaceae. The record is from RefSeq and is a predicted model, not a curated record.